Molecule: non-coding RNA, 92 nt
Organism: Caerostris darwini
Lineage: Eukaryota; Metazoa; Arthropoda; Arachnida; Araneae; Araneidae
Source: the annotation of a GenBank genome assembly
AACGGCCGUACCAUGCUGAAUAUACCGGUUCUCGUUAGAUCACCGAAGUUAAGCGUCAUUGGGCAACGGUCAGUAAUUACCGGGUGAUCACC